AUCCCAGUGCAAGGGCAGGACACUUACAAGUGAAGGGACUUCCUGAUGUAGUGUAUUUGCUGGUUGAAAACUAAAACCGACCAUGUCGAGCAGGACUCUGUCCGGUUCGCAAUUUUUACGAUGAAAAUGGAAUC
Molecule: small nuclear RNA, 134 nt
Filed under: Dactylellina haptotyla CBS 200.50
Lineage: Eukaryota; Fungi; Ascomycota; Orbiliomycetes; Orbiliales; Orbiliaceae
Description: U4 spliceosomal RNA
Rfam family: U4 spliceosomal RNA
About the family: U4 small nuclear RNA (U4 snRNA) is a component of the major U2-dependent spliceosome. The structure of U4 snRNA from yeast and human has been reported.
Source: Rfam by way of RNAcentral